GACGAACGCUGGCGGCGUGCUUAACACAUGCAAGUCGAACGAAGAGCGAUGGAAGCUUGCUUCUAUCAAUCUUAGUGGCGAACGGGUGAGUAACGCGUAAUCAACCUGCCCUUCAGAGGGGGACAACAGUUGGAAACGACUGCUAAUACCGCAUACGAUCUAAUCUCGGCAUCGAGGAUAGAUGAAAGGUGGCCUCUACAUGUAAGCUAUCACUGAAGGAGGGGAUUGCGUCUGAUUAGCUAGUUGGAGGGGUAACGGCCCACCAAGGCGAUGAUCAGUAGCCGGUCUGAGAGGAUGAAAGGCCACCUUGGGACGGAGACACGGCCCAGACUCCUACGGGAGGCAGCAGUGGGGAAUCUUCCGCAAUGGACGAAAGUCUGACGGAGCAACGCGGCGUGAGUGAUGACGGCCUUCGGGUUGUAAAGCUCUGUUAAUCGGGACGAAAGGCCUUCUUGCGAACAGUUAGAAGGAUUGACGGUACCGGUAUAGAAAGCCACGGCUAACUACGU
RNAcentral lists this ribosomal RNA (509 nucleotides) under uncultured bacterium. RNAcentral describes it as "partial 16S ribosomal RNA". It matches the Rfam family "Bacterial small subunit ribosomal RNA", at positions 28 to 506 of the family's 1533-position model. The record is from RNAcentral.